This 639-nucleotide ribosomal RNA is filed under the name uncultured Actinomycetes bacterium. RNAcentral's name for it is "bacterial SSU rRNA". It matches the Rfam family "Bacterial small subunit ribosomal RNA", at positions 232 to 885 of the family's 1533-position model. The record is from RNAcentral. Lineage: Bacteria; Bacillati; Actinomycetota; Actinomycetes.
CGCGGCCUAUCAGCUUGUUGGUGAGGUAACGGCUCACCAAGGCAUCGACGGGUAGCUGGUCUGAGAGGACGAUCAGCCACACUGGGACUGAGACACGGCCCAGACUCCUACGGGAGGCAGCAGUAGGGAAUCUUGCGCAAUGGGCGAAAGCCUGACGCAGCAACGCCGCAUGGGGGAUGAAUGCCUUCGGGUUGUAAACCCCUUUCAGCAGGGACGAAAAUGACGGUACCUGCAGAAGAAGCUCCGGCCAACUACGUGCCAGCAGCCGCGGUAAUACGUAGGGAGCGAGUGUUGUCCGGAAUUAUUGGGCGUAAAGAGCUCGUAGGCGGUUCAGUAAGUCGGGUGUGAAAACUCAAGGCUCAACCUUGAGACGCCACUCGAUACUGCUGUGACUUGAGUCCGGUAGAGGAGUGUGGAAUUCCUGGUGUAGCGGUGAAAUGCGCAGAUAUCAGGAGGAACACCAGCGGCGAAGGCGGCACUCUGGGCCGGUACUGACGCUGAGGAGCGAAAGCAUGGGGAGCAAACAGGAUUAGAUACCCUGGUAGUCCAUGCCGUAAACGUUGGGCACUAGGUAUGGGAUCAUAUCAACGGAUUCCGUGCCGUAGCUAACGCAUUAAGUGCCCCGCCUGGGGAGUACGG